UGGGGGAUAUUGCACAAUGGGGGAAACCCUGAUGCAGCGACGCCGCGUGGGUGAAGGAGCACUUCGGUGCGUAAAGCCCUAUCGGCAGGAAGAAAAGGGGGAAACCCCAGACGGUACCUGACUAAGAAGCCCCGGCUAACUACGUGCC
This 148-nucleotide ribosomal RNA is filed under the name uncultured bacterium. Its description in RNAcentral is "partial 16S ribosomal RNA". It matches the Rfam family "Bacterial small subunit ribosomal RNA", at positions 355 to 509 of the family's 1533-position model. The record is from RNAcentral.